RNAcentral lists this ribosomal RNA (301 nucleotides) under uncultured bacterium. Its description in RNAcentral is "partial 16S ribosomal RNA". It matches the Rfam family "Bacterial small subunit ribosomal RNA", at positions 509 to 807 of the family's 1533-position model. The record is from RNAcentral.
CAGCCGCCGCGGGAAUACGGAGGGUGCAAGCGUUAUCCGGAUUCACUGGGUUUAAAGGGUGCGUAGGCGGAUCUGUAAGUCCGUGGUGAAAUCUCCAGGCUUAACCUGGAAACUGCCAUGGAUACUAUAGAUCUUGAAUGUUGUGGAGGUUAGCGGAAUAUGUCAUGUAGCGGUGAAAUGCAUAGAUAUGACAUAGAACACCAAUUGCGAAGGCAGCUGGCUACACAAAUAUUGACGCUGAGGCACGAAAGCGUGGGGAUCAAACAGGAUUAGAUACCCGCGUAGUCCCUGUCUCUUAUAC